CCUACGGGAGGCAGCAGUGGGGAAUAUUGCACAAUGGGGGGAACCCUGAUGCAGCGACGCCGCGUGGGUGAAGAAGCGCCUCGGCGCGUAAAGCCCUGUCAGCAGGGAAGAAAAUGACGGUACCUGAAGAAGAAGCCCCGGCUAACUACGUGCCAGCAGCCGCGGUAAUACGUAGGGGGCAAGCGUUAUCCGGAUUUACUGGGUGUAAAGGGGGCGCAGACGGCGAUGCAAGCCAGGAGUGAAAGCCCGGGGCCCAACCCAGGGACUGCUCUUGGAACUGCGUGGCUAGAGUGCAGGAGGGGCAGGCGGAAGUCCUGGUGUAGCGGUGAAAUGCGUAGAUAUCAGGAGGAACACCGGUGGCGAAGGCGGCCUGCUGGACUGCAACUGACGUUGAGGCCCGAAAGCGUGGGGAGCAAACAGGAUUAGAUACCCCAGUAGUC
RNAcentral lists this ribosomal RNA (440 nucleotides) under uncultured bacterium. RNAcentral describes it as "partial 16S ribosomal RNA". It matches the Rfam family "Bacterial small subunit ribosomal RNA", at positions 338 to 795 of the family's 1533-position model. The record is from RNAcentral.